RNAcentral lists this ribosomal RNA (494 nucleotides) under uncultured bacterium. RNAcentral describes it as "partial 16S ribosomal RNA". It matches the Rfam family "Bacterial small subunit ribosomal RNA", at positions 28 to 507 of the family's 1533-position model. The record is from RNAcentral.
GACGAACGCUGGCGGCGUGCUUAACACAUGCAAGUCGAACGGAAAGGCCUGCUUUCCCUUGUGGUUUGCGGGUACUCGAGUGGCGAACGGGUGAGUAACACGUGAGUGAUCUGCCCCCAACUUGGGUAUAAGCCUGGGAAACUGGGUCUAAUUCCCGAUAGGACUGCAGGGUGGUGCCUGUGGUGGAAAACGAUUUUCUAGUGGUUGGGGGUGAGCUCGCGGCCUAUCAGCUUGUUGGUGGGGUAAUGGCCUACCAAGGCGGCGACGGGUAGCCGGGCUGAGAGGGGGGACGGCGAAAUUGGGACUGAGAUACGGCCCAGACUCCUACGGGAGGCAGCAGUGGGGAAUAUUGCACAAUGGGCGGAAGCCUGAUGCAGCGACGCCGCGUGGGGGAUGACGGCAUUCGGGUUGUAAACUCCUUUCGACCGCGAGGAAGCCACCUGGUUGGAAGGGUGGUGACGGUAGUGGUAGAAGAAGCACCGGCUAACUACGUG